GCGAGGGUGGCGGAACUGGCAGACGCGCUGGACUUAGAAUCCAGUGCCUUAAAGGCUUGAGGGUUCAAAUCCCUCCCCUCGCACCA
RNAcentral lists this transfer RNA (86 nucleotides) under Deltaproteobacteria bacterium. RNAcentral's name for it is "tRNA-Leu". It matches the Rfam family "tRNA". Rfam says of the family: Transfer RNA (tRNA) molecules are approximately 80 nucleotides in length. Their secondary structure includes four short double-helical elements and three loops (D, anti-codon, and T loops). Further hydrogen bonds mediate the characteristic L-shaped molecular structure. tRNAs have two regions of fundamental functional importance: the anti-codon, which is responsible for specific mRNA codon recognition, and the 3' end, to which the tRNAs corresponding amino acid is attached (by aminoacyl-tRNA synthetases). tRNAs cope with the degeneracy of the genetic code in two manners: having more than one tRNA (with a specific anti-codon) for a particular amino acid; and 'wobble' base-pairing, i.e. permitting non-standard base-pairing at the 3rd anti-codon position. Lineage: Bacteria; Pseudomonadati; Myxococcota; Myxococcia. The record is from RNAcentral.